GAGACCCGCUCGACGAUAUCUCCUCCUCCAACGAGAACGAGAGUAAGAGAGAGAGAGAGAGAAAGAGAGAAGAAGAGAGGGAGCUUGGCUCGAGGAGAGGAGUUUGGGUCGUUCUAGAAGCGGAGAAGAGAAACGACGCGGACGAGAGGUGACGCAACGUCGGAGGCAGGUUCACCGGAGAGAGAAACUGUGAACCUGAAACAGGCUUCGAGGAGGGCAACAGCAUCUCUCAAGGACGUCUACGGGAAGCAAGAGACGGCUAGGCUAACGUAACGGGUCCUGUUUCGUCGAGGGACGGAUUCUUCGAAGAAACGUCACUGUUUUCGUCUUGGUAACACCGAUAACGAACGAGAAAUAUAAAUAACAAAUUACAAAGUA
Long non-coding RNA from Vespula vulgaris, 378 nucleotides. RefSeq lists it as uncharacterized. The transcript has 2 exons. The record is from RefSeq and is a predicted model, not a curated record. NCBI's taxonomy places the organism in Eukaryota, Metazoa, Arthropoda, Insecta, Hymenoptera, Vespidae.